RNAcentral lists this ribosomal RNA (253 nucleotides) under uncultured bacterium. Its description in RNAcentral is "partial 16S ribosomal RNA". It matches the Rfam family "Bacterial small subunit ribosomal RNA", at positions 524 to 776 of the family's 1533-position model. The record is from RNAcentral.
UACGAAGGGGGCUAGCGUUGCUCGGAAUCACUGGGCGUAAAGCGCACGUAGGCGGAUCUUUAAGUCAGGGGUGAAAUCCUGGAGCUCAACUCCAGAACUGCCUUUGAUACUGGGGAUCUCGAGUCCGGGAGAGGUGAGUGGAACUCCGAGUGUAGAGGUGAAAUUCGUAGAUAUUCGGAAGAACAUCAGUGGCGAAGGCGGCUCACUGGCCCGGUACUGACGCUGAGGUGCGAAAGCGUGGGGAGCAAACAGG